Musa acuminata AAA Group (dessert banana) is the source of this 2049-nucleotide RNA transcript. RefSeq lists it as uncharacterized. The transcript is spliced from 5 exons. The record is from RefSeq and is a predicted model, not a curated record. NCBI's taxonomy places the organism in Eukaryota, Viridiplantae, Streptophyta, Magnoliopsida, Zingiberales, Musaceae.
CCCCCGCCCAUCGUUUUCGGUUCCCUCUCCCACUCCUCGAUCCUUCUGAAUACUCGGCGAUCUCCUUCGAUGGCGAGAUGGUAGGAGCUCCAACGAUACGGCGAUUCUCUCGCUGGCUACCGGAUCCUCGUCGCCGGCUCCGUCGUUUCCUGUAACGCGCCGGGGAGCGGCAACACCUUGCAGCGCCAGUAAAGAAGCAAUCACAACAUCAAGUAGCGAUCUUACCUGACUAAAUGAGAAUAAGUUGGCUUGGGCUAUUUGCCCACCAAGGGAUCACAACAAAAGGAGGUAUUCUUGCUAUCGAGGUCAGGACUGUCAUGUGGCUGCCAAUUUCUCUGCUGCUACUGAUUUCAAGCUUAUGCAUCUCGUGACCUGCGGAGCCAUGCUUGGUUCUGUACCGCAACUUUUUUCUAACGCCUGUAACUGGUCGAAGGAGAGAAAUCAUUCGAUCAUCCAGCAGAGAUUAUUGGCCACCGAGGGUGUCCUCUCCUCUCUGUUUGCCGUAGUUAAACAAGCUUCGAGCGUAACGCUCUUUCCAUGUGACCGGUGAGUGCCUAAGUAGCUCUUUGGUCUUUUUCUUUGAUGGAAUUCUCGAGGGUACUCCUAAUUAAUUGACUGGCAAAUACGUAGCCCUCUUUUUUCUUCCUCGGGUUAGGGUCUCCCUGGUUGGCCGCGACAUGAUCCGCACGUAAAUGGCGAGUCUUGUCACGCCCACAUGACUCAUUUAUGAGCCUGCUGGUGAGAGGUGAUCUCGGAUGUGAUGCCACUGAUGGCGACUUCCAUACGAUAUCCCCAUUAAUCACAAGGUUUCGCAAUCAAAGAUCAUGGUAUUCAGUCACAGAUUGUCUAGAAAUAUACAUAACUCAAAUCUAGCAUUUUUUUUCAUUGUAUUUCCCUCGUUGUAUUAACUAUAAAAGGAAGCCAAAAAAAAAAAGUGUGAGAGAGAGAGAAGGCCGUUCUCAUAUAAAACAAAUGUUGCAAUAUAUUUUCUAUAGACAAAUUCUUUUGGAGAAGGAACUAGGCCUUGGAACAUAGGUUAAGAGGUAUCACAUGCUCAUCUUAAAUCUCACACUAGUCCUGGCUUACUAAGGUAUCACGUGCCAAGUCCAAGUAGUAUGCUUCAAUUUCUAACGACGGAAGGAUGUCGAUGUAUGUUUCUAUUGACUUAUUUGUACAAACAUCACUAUCUCGACACGGUUGCUUCAGGCUUCCUAAUCAAUAUCAUUACGUCUUCGUCAAGGCACUAACAAAGCUAUGCUUGCGUGAUAUUCGGCCUCAGAAGAUGUUAAUUUCUUACUAUCGAGUACUCUAUCGUUGAAACAUCCGAGAUUUCUUUAAUGCACUUAAUUGUGUUUGCUCAUUCCCAAGGGUGAUCAAGAUUUGGAAACGAUCAGAUUUUAGCUUUAGAUCGGGGAGAGCAUACGAUUACUGUAGUAGAUUGUAGUUUGAAAAUUUGUUAAUCAAAAAAUCGAUGAUAUUCUUGAUGUAAAAGGGUGAGAUCAACUAGUUGAGGUUUGUGUGAUAGUGACUUGAGAUAUUAUAUAGAAGUUUUUUGGGUUAGGUAUUCAUCUUCUCUAUCAGAGUAAAUUAUUUUAAUGAUAUAUUGAAAAAAAUUUUGAUCAUCUUUUUAAAAUGAGUAAAAAUCGUGAUGAUUUCAUAUUUAUAUUUCAAAGGAUAUAACCAUGUAUAUUUAGUAAUGUAAUAUGCGAAAAUGACAUAAAAUCUGAAAUUAUCAAAAUAAGUUGUUGGGUAGGGCCUUAAACAUCGAUGUAGAUAAUUUUAAAUGAUUUUGAGUCGGAUAUGAAAGAUAUUCUAAUAGAUAAUUUAUGACUUUUAUUACUAAAGCAUCCAUCAUAAUAAGUUUUAAUUUUACUUGAUUUGAAAUUUGAAAGAGAGUAAUAAAAACAUAAUUAUUGUUGAAGGAAGUAGAUAUUGUCCUUAUUCUAGCCUCGGACCAAGGAUGCUUGGAUGCUCUCGUGUUUAAAUCAUUUACAACGAGCCAAAAAAGAAUUAAAUAAAUAUGUUAUUUUGUUUGCAGAAUUGAGAAAC